AGGGUUUGAUCAUGGCUCAGAACGUACGCUGGCGGCACGCCUAAUACAUGCAAGUCGAACGAAGUAGCAAUACUUAGUGGCAGACGGGUGAGUAACAUGUAGGUAUCUUCCCUUUGGUGAGGAAUAACACGAGGAAACUUGUGCUAAUACCUCAUAAGUCUUUACGGAGAAAGCUUUAUGCGCCAAUGGAUGAGCCUGCACUUGAUUAGUUUGUUGGUGGGGUAAUGGCCUACCAAGACAAUGAUCAAUAGCUGAUUUGAGAGGAUGAUCAGCCACAUUGGGACUGAGACACGGCCCAAACUCCUACGGGAGGCAGCAGUAGGGAAUCUUGCACAAUGGGGGAAACCCUGAUGCAGCGAUGCCGCGUGAGUGAAGAAGGCCUUUGGGUUGUAAAGCUCUUUCGUCGGGGAAGAAAAUGACUGUACCCGAAUAAGAAGGUCCGGCUAACUUCGUGCCAGCAGCCGCGGUAAUACGAAGGGACCUAGCGUAGUUCGGAAUUACUGGGCUUAAAGAGUUCGUAGGUUGUUAAAAAAGUUGGUGGUGAAAUCCCAGAGCUUAACUCUGGAACUGCCAUCAAAACUUUUUAGCUAGAGUAUGAUAGAGGAAAGCAGAAUUUCUAGUGUAGAGGUGAAAUUCGUAGAUAUUAGAAAGAAUACCAAUUGCGAAGGCAGCUUUCUGGAUCAUUACUGACACUGAGGAACGAAAGCAUGGGUAGCGAAGAGGAUUAGAUACCCUCGUAGUCCAUGCCGUAAACGAUGUGUGUUAGACGUUGGAAAUUUAUUUUCAGUGUCGCAGCGAAAGCAAUAAACACACCGCCUGGGGAGUACGACCGCAAGGUUAAAACUCAAAUGAAUUGACGGGGACCCGCACAAGUAGUGGAGCAUGUGGUUUAAUUCGAAGAUACGCGCAGAACCUUACCAACACUUGACAUGUUCGUCGCGACUUUAAGAGAUUAAAGUUUUCGGUUCGGCCGGACGAAACACAGGUGCUGCAUGGCUGUCGUCAGCUCGUGUCGUGAGAUGUUGGGUUAAGUCCCGCAACGAGCGCAACCCUCACUUUUAGUUGCCAUCAUUAAGUUGGGCACUCUGAAAGAACUGCCAGUGAUAAGCUGGAGGAAGGUGGGGAUGACGUCAAGUCCUCAUGGCCCUUACGUGUUGGGCUACACACGUGCUACAAUGGCAUUUACAAUAGGAAGCAAAACGGCGACGUUAAGCAAAUCCUAAAAAAAUGCCUCAGUUCGGAUUGUACUCUGCAACUCGAGUACAUGAAGCUGGAAUUACUAGUAAUCGCGGAUCAGCGCGCCGCGGUGAAUACGUUCCCGGGUCUUGUACACACCGCCCGUCACACCAUGGGAGUUGGUUCUACCUUAAGGCAAAGGUUAAAAACUUUGACCACGGUAUAGUCAGCGACUGGGGUGAAGUCGUAACAAGGUAACCGUA
This 1439-nucleotide ribosomal RNA is filed under the name uncultured bacterium. Its description in RNAcentral is "bacterial SSU rRNA". It matches the Rfam family "Bacterial small subunit ribosomal RNA". The record is from RNAcentral.